RNAcentral lists this ribosomal RNA (253 nucleotides) under uncultured bacterium. Its description in RNAcentral is "partial 16S ribosomal RNA". It matches the Rfam family "Bacterial small subunit ribosomal RNA", at positions 524 to 776 of the family's 1533-position model. The record is from RNAcentral.
UACAGAGGUCUCAAGCGUUGUUCGGAUUCAUUGGGCGUAAAGGGUGCGUAGGCGGCGCGGUAAGUCGGGUGUGAAAUCUCGGAGCUUAACUCCGAAACUGCAUUCGAUACUGCCGUGCUUGAGGACUGGAGAGGAGACUGGAAUUUACGGUGUAGCGGUGAAAUGCGUAGAUAUCGGGAGGAACACCGGUGGCGAAGGCGGCUUGCUGGGCCAGUUCUGACGCUGAGGAGCGAAAGCGUGGGGAGCGAACAGG